Molecule: non-coding RNA, 1091 nt
Organism: Musa acuminata subsp. malaccensis (wild Malaysian banana)
Lineage: Eukaryota; Viridiplantae; Streptophyta; Magnoliopsida; Zingiberales; Musaceae
Source: RefSeq, a predicted model, not a curated record
AAAGACACGAUUGAUCUCAUGAAUUAUUAUAUGUUAUUUAAAUGAUCAUAUAAUUAAUUUGGAAUUACAAAAAGACUUCUGAUCAAUUAGAUUAGUGUUUGCAUAGCUUUGAUCCAAAUCUUUGGUUCGUUUUUCACCUAAUUUUGGAGGCGAUUAUUGAGUUUGCAUCGGUGAUUAAUCUACUUGCCAUGGAUUUAGGGUUUCGUGCGAGUUGCGGAUCCCGGCAGUUACGAUAUCCUAAAUACGACGAGGGGAAGCGACGCCGGAUCUGCACUAUGGGGGAAGGGAUUGGGCGGAGUUCGGGUCUCCUUCCCUCUGUUUCCUGAGGGCCGGAUUGCGUCGAGGUACUCCUACGACGGAGGACGUCCGCCGGGGAGAGGAGCACCCAGCCCUUCUUCUAUGUUAUGAAGGUAGAUCCAUCAUUUAUGAAUCACCUGCAGAUGAACCUUGUGCUGCUGGAGUUUGUGCCUGUGCUGGGGAUCCCCAAAAGCUACCACAUUACUGUUUGUAAAAUGAGCAAAAGAAAAUUGUGGUUCAAGGUUCUCUGAGACAGCUGCCCAACAUGGCCAAGAAUAUCGCUCUUCAGAUAUUGUGGUCUUGUUAUGGCAAAAGAGAUGAUAUCUGGACCAAUGUCUUGUCCAAGAAAGAAUAACCAAGUCUCCAUAAAUAGCGAAUUGGAGAGGUAUUCACACAAAUCAAACGAGAUGGAUUGGAGUAACUCAUUGCUAGCGUAGAGCAUGGUUCAUCUAAUUUACUGAUGACAUCUCCUGGUGAAACAUACAUAUAAGGUCACAGUUGCUCGAACGACCGUAUCAUCAGAUGCUCAAAAGUAUCAUAUAAAGUCACAUCACCAAAGCCAUGGUUGAGGUGGCUCCUCAGGUGUAACUGUUUACCUCGUCUUCAGAAUUGCAUGGCAGAUGAUUGAUUCAUCUUUCCAGGCUCCAAAGCCAUGAUGAUUGAUUCAUCUCGUAGAUACCAUGAUGUUAGUUAGAUAUGGCCAGUGCUAGCCACUUUGAAUUACAUGUUCUUGGUGUUUUCAGCAUCAUGAUGAGUUCUUAAAGGAUUUUAAAUGUCAAUUACAGUUUCAAUUA